UAAAUAAUUUAAUAAUUCAUUUAUUUAUUUAUUAAUAAAUAAUCGUGGAAACCAAAAGAAGAAGAAGAAGUGUGUGUGUUACGAUAAGACAUUUGAUGAGAUAAUAAUUGAUUAAUUUGAUCAUUGAAAUAAAUCAUUAUCAUUCAACAACAAAAAAAGAAACCGGAGGAAGUGUUACGUUAAAAAAAUUGGAUAAGAUAAUAACUUAUUAAUGUGAUCAUAGACAAAAAACGAAGAAUAAUAAUAGUUAAAUGAAGUUUAUGUGGAAGAUACUUUUGUGGAAUCAGUGAAUAUUCGAUUAUGAAUUUGAAAA
RNAcentral lists this long non-coding RNA (313 nucleotides) under Polistes fuscatus (common paper wasp). RNAcentral describes it as "uncharacterized LOC122526164". Lineage: Eukaryota; Metazoa; Arthropoda; Insecta; Hymenoptera; Vespidae. The record is from RNAcentral.